CUAAGUUUGAUGGCGACCGGCGCACGGGUGAGUAACACGUAUCCAACCUGCCGAUGACUCGGGGAUAGCCUUUCGAAAGAAAGAAUUAAUACCCGAUGGCAUAGUUCUUCCGCAUGGUAGAACUAUUAAAGAAUUUCGGUCAUCGAUGGGGAUGCGUUCCAUUAGGUUGUUGGCGGGGUAACGGCCCACCAAGCCUUCGAUGGAUAGGGGUUCUGAGAGGAAGGUCCCCCACAUGGGAACUGAGACACGGUCCAAACUCCUACGGGAGGCAGCAUG
Molecule: ribosomal RNA, 276 nt
Filed under: uncultured bacterium
Lineage: Bacteria
Description: partial 16S ribosomal RNA
Rfam family: Bacterial small subunit ribosomal RNA
Source: RNAcentral